Long non-coding RNA from Planococcus citri (citrus mealybug), 685 nucleotides. RefSeq lists it as uncharacterized. NCBI's taxonomy places the organism in Eukaryota, Metazoa, Arthropoda, Insecta, Hemiptera, Pseudococcidae. The transcript has 2 exons. The record is from RefSeq and is a predicted model, not a curated record.
UCGCAUUGUCGUAUACACGAUGAUUGGUUAUAAUUAAGAAUAUCCAUUAGUGUAUGAGCAGAUAGUGUAAGUAGGAGUAGUGGAAUUGCCGUUGGCGGUGUAGGCUGCUUGGCUGCUGCACAGUUAGGAGUUGGUGGUACGAGCCGAAUCCGUGUGUGUCGAAUGGGGUGCAUAACGUGGUGCCUGGUUAUGUGGUAUUUACGGCGAACCGAUAUGCAACUUUAUCAACGUGAUUUAGAGCAGGUUUCUGGGUAUGAUGGUUGGAAAAGGAGUGGAAGGGAAGCGAAUUUCACUGUUCAUGUGGUCUUGGUUUCGUAACUUCUUAAUACUUCAUUUUUUUCCAACUAUUUCGUCUGACGUGAGUUGAAGAUUUCACUACUCAAUAUUGUCACAUUUACGCGAUAUCUGAGCAAGCAGAUUCAAUCCGAGAAAGAAUACUUUGACUCAAUUUCAAAGCAUUUCCACCCCUCCCAUUGCAAAAUUGAGAAAUCUGAAGAUGUAGAUAAGGGUGAUGAUGAUUUGGCCAAAUUCACGAUGCUGAUAAAUGAUUGGUAGACCUUCUAUAAUUUCGAUUCCUCAAUCGCCGAACAAUUUUAUGAACGUGAAAGAUCGACACUGUUCUGUAUUCGUUUAUAUUAUUCUGUAGCGUAACUGUAUUAAACGGCUUUAGUAUUUUGUAAGAUAA